This 460-nucleotide ribosomal RNA is filed under the name uncultured bacterium. Its description in RNAcentral is "partial 16S ribosomal RNA". It matches the Rfam family "Bacterial small subunit ribosomal RNA", at positions 338 to 795 of the family's 1533-position model. The record is from RNAcentral.
CCUACGGGAGGCAGCAGUGAGGAAUAUUGGUCAAUGGCCGUAAGGCUGAACCAGCCAAGUCGCGUGAAGGAAGAAGGAUCUAUGGUUUGUAAACUUCUUUUAUAGGGGAAUAAAGGUAUCCACGUGUGGAUAUUUGCAUGUACCCUAUGAAUAAGCAUCGGCUAACUCCGUGCCAGCAGCCGCGGUAAUACGGAGGAUGCGAGCGUUAUCCGGAUUUAUUGGGUUUAAAGGGUGCGUAGGUUGUUUUUUAAGUCAGCGGUGAAAGUUUGUGGCUCAACCAUAAAAUUGCCGUUGAAACUGGAAGACUUGAGUGUGUUUGAGGUAGGCGGAAUGCGUGGUGUAGCGGUGAAAUGCAUAGAUAUCACGCAGAACUCCGAUUGCGAAGGCAGCUUACUAAGCCAUAACUGACACUGAAGCACGAGAGCGUGGGGAGCAAACAGGAUUAGAUACCCGUGUAGUC